CCUACGGGGCGCAGCAGUGAGGAAUAUUGGUCAAUGGGCGGGAGCCUGAACCAGCCAAGUCGCGUGAGGGAAGACGGUCCUAUGGAUUGUAAACCUCUUUAGGCGGGGAGCAAUGCCGGGCACGCGCGCCCGGAGGGAGAGUACCCGCAGAAUAAGCAUCGGCUAACUCCGUGCCAGCAGCCGCGGUAAUACGGAGGAUGCGAGCGUUAUCCGGAUUUAUUGGGUUUAAAGGGUGCGUAGGCGGAAUAUCAAGUCAGCGGUAAAAAUUCGGGGCUCAACCCCGUCGUGCCGUUGAAACUGAUGUU
Molecule: ribosomal RNA, 305 nt
Filed under: uncultured bacterium
Lineage: Bacteria
Description: bacterial SSU rRNA
Rfam family: Bacterial small subunit ribosomal RNA
Source: RNAcentral